Long non-coding RNA from Ahaetulla prasina, 3116 nucleotides. RefSeq lists it as uncharacterized. Lineage: Eukaryota; Metazoa; Chordata; Lepidosauria; Squamata; Colubridae. The transcript is spliced from 4 exons. The record is from RefSeq and is a predicted model, not a curated record.
UUUUUUAGGCUAAUAUUCUCUUAUUCCUAACCAAACAUCAUCCUUCUUCUUGGGUGAGUGAAUAAAGAAGAUGACCAUGAGAUAUGCUUCAACACUGAGAAGCUUCACCAGACACAUGCUAACAACUGGAAAAGAUGAAGCCAUAUGAAUAUACUUGCCAACUGAAGUUAACCGUGCAUCUGAUGAAGUGAUUUCCAUUAUACGAAAGUUAAUGCCAAGCUUAUAACAAUGAAGUACCAAGCAGGACAGCUGGGGAAAAGAUUAGACCGUCUUCCAGUAAUAUUUGAUGGAUUUCAUAGUGCUUUCCCAUCACCAUUUUUCCUUCCAUCGAAGAGAAAUGCAUCCUGUAGCAAUUUGAAGCUCCUGACGGGCGAUUUCUCGUGAUUCUUUUGAUAGAUUUCAACUGUUUUCUGUAAAGAAGUUAAGAUUCAAUGACAACAACACUGUUCAAUGAUUGUGCUAUGCCACAAGACUUAAUGUUCUGUGUGUCUCCAAUCAUUUUGGUUUGUAAAGCAGGCUUUAUAGCUUAGUUUAAUGCAUGAACCAGAAAAAAAUGAUUUAUACAACAAAUCAUUUAUAAUAAUAAAAACAACAACAACAAUAGUUGUUUAUUAUUAUUAUCCAAGAUGAAACAAAAUAGCAAAACUAUUACCCAUUAAUUAAUUAACCCAUUAAUUAAUUAAUUAAUUAACCCAUUGAGUAAGAAUUAAUUUUUUUUUUACGAAUACCCCUGAGGUAUAGAUACAGAAUGCAUGUUGUUUAAAUAAAAGUUGGCAACAUUGUUGAAAACCCCUGAAUAUUGAUCUGAUAACAUGAGAUAGAUGUUAUUUCUGUCUAGCCUCAUAAGUUCACCAUGCAAAGGUAGUCUCCUUCAGAUUGAACUUGAUUCCUGGUCUCUUCAUGUUUUUUAGAGGCAUGAUAGUAACAGCUUGCUAUUGCCUUUUUCCUGAUUUUUUUUAAUUCUCAGGUUUUAUUUAUUUAUUCGUAUCACAUCUUUUUUGUUUUUAUAAAUAAAACAGCAAACUUGUUUAUGUAUGUACCUUCCUCCUAUUUUUCUCACAACAACUCUAUGAAGUGAGUCGGCCUGAGAGAGAGCGACUGGCCCUAAGUCACCCACUGGCUUUCAUGGCUAGGGUGGGAUUUGAACUCACAAUCUUCUGCUUUCUAACCUGGUGCCUUAACUUCCAGCUCAAGUGUUGCAUGGUAGUCUCCCAUUCAAAUUACCACCGGGUUAAGCCCUACUUACUGUCUGGUUUGGUUCUGCAACCCAACAAGACAGACACAGACUUCAGAGGAUAAUUAGAAUUGCAGAAAAAAUAAUUGCUACCAACCUGCCUUCCAUUGAGGACCUGUAUACUGCAUGAAUCAAAAAGAGAGCUGUGAAAAUAUUUACAGACCCCUCGCAUCCUGGACAUAAACUGUUUCAACUCCUACCCUCAAAACGAUGCUACAGAGCACUGCAUAUCAGAACAACUAGACACAAGAACAGUUUUUCCCCGAACGCCAUCACUCUGCUAAACAAAUAAUUUUCUCAACACUGUCAAACUAUUGACUAAAUCUCCACUACUAUUAAUCUUCUCACCGUUCCCAUCACCCAUCUCCUUCCAUUUAUGACUGUAUGACUGAACUUCAUUGCUUGUAUCCUUACGAUUUAUAUUGAUAUUGAUUGUUUCCUGAUUGCUUAUUUGUACCCUAUGACUAUCAUUAAGUGUUGUACCUUAUGUUUCUUGAUGAACAUAUUUUUCUUUUAUGUACACUGAGAGCAUAUGCACCAAGACAAAUUCCUUGUGUGUCCAAUCACACUUGGCCAAUAAAAACAUUUCUAUUCUAUUCUAUUCUAUUCUAUUCUAUUCUAUUCUAUUCUAUUCUAUUCUAUUCUAUUCUAUUCUAUUCUAUUCUAUUCUUAAAUUUCCAAGCCUAGAAAGGUCACCCCUGGUAUUACACCUGCUAAGCCACACUGACUUUUUAGGGAACUGCAUAAAUAUGAUAGAAGUCAUUUUAAAAUGGGCAAUAUCAUAAUUCCUACACCCCACUGUUCUAGGCUGCCAGGUUUGCAUGCAUGCACAUCCAUCUCAUGGGAUGGGGGUGUUGCCACAUUUCCCCUUCAGGAGCACCAAGAUUUAGAAAUUGAAUUAAGAGAAUGUGUUUCAGACUUCUAUCUGUUGCCAUUAUCCCCCCUUUCUGGAAAACUCUGUCCAAAGCUCAUUACUUAAUGGGUAUUCUAAUGUGAUCAAAUAUUGGUUUAAAAAACCCUGUCAUGUAUAUCUCCUUUCAAUACUUUUUUCCAGUAUGAUUUAAAAUCUUCAUUCAUAGGUAUGCCAGAAAACCAUAGGUAAAAGUUAAUUUGAUACUACAGUUUAAUCAAUAAAGCCAAGUUAAUUUCCAAUAGACACAAUUCCGGAAUCUACAUGUAAUGAAGAAUUGGAAAAAAGUGCCAAAAAUAGAGCUUGCUUCAGCCCUCCUGAGGUAGAGAUUUACUUAGAUAUCCAGCCUAAGCUGUCUGUCAGUUCUGCAAUGAGGUAUUAUUGCUCUAUAUUUUAAUCUGCAUAAAUAGUAACUGGUUAAUAGAUUCUUGCUUCUUCCAUCGCUGGGGAUAGAAUCAACCAUUCCUUUCAACACCAUAAAUAUAUAUAUAGAAGGAUACUUCUAUCUUGUAGGGUAUUAUUUCUUGGUGAUUGACCUUCAUUAAACCACCAGUGGAUAGAUGCAGGGGGUCACUGUAGUCCUUUGUUAACCCUACAAUAUCACAAAACAAAGCUAUUUCAGCUUUUAUUUAUUUAUUUUGUCACACAGUAUAUAUAAGCGUAAGUAUGAAAUAACUAUACAAUAUAUAAGCAUAUAUAUAAUUAUGAGUAUGUAAUAACUAUAUUAAUUGGAUAUAACGAAAGGAAACAAUAGGACAGGAAUGGAAGGCUCUGCAGGAAGAGACCCAUGGGAUGCACAGCCCAAUAUGUUUGAAGAGUACCAGGUAAGGAAAUCUUGUAAUGGUGAGCUGCAUACCUAGGGAAUAAUUUUAAUUGCAUCAGGUAAAAAUGUGGAAUGUGGCUACUGGAGGAAUGAUAUUUAUUUCUCUAAUCUUUGAUGUCCUCCUAAUAGUACUUAGAAUUCAAAGUUAU